AACUAACAGAUUUACUUCGGUAAUGACGUUAGGAAAGCGAGCGGCGGAUGGGUGAGUAACACGUGGGGAACCUGCCCCAUAGUCUGGGAUACCACUUGGAAACAGGUGCUAAUACCGGAUAAGAAAGCAGAUCGCAUGAUCAGCUUUUAAAAGGCGGCGUAAGCUGUCGCUAUGGGAUGGCCCCGCGGUGCAUUAGCUAGUUGGUAAGGUAAAGGCUUACCAAGGCGAUGAUGCAUAGCCGAGUUGAGAGACUGAUCGGCCACAUUGGGACUGAGACACGGCCCAAACUCCUACGGGAGGCAGCAGUAGGGAAUCUUCCACAAUGGACGCAAGUCUGAUGGAGCAACGCCGCGUGAGUGAAGAAGGUUUUCGGAUCGUAAAGCUCUGUUGUUGGUGAAGAAGGAUAGAGGUAGUAACUGGCCUUUAUUUGACGGUAAUCAACCAGAAAGUCACGGCUAACUACGUGCCAGCAGCCGCGGUAAUACGUAGGUGGCAAGCGUUGUCCGGAUUUAUUGGGCGCAAAGCGAGCGCAGGCGGAAGAAUAAGUCUGAUGUGAAAGCCCUCGGCUUAACCGAGGAACUGCAUCGGAAACUGUUUUUCUUGAGUGCAGAAGAGGAGAGUGGAACUCCAUGUGUAGCGGUGGAAUGCGUAGAUAUAUGGAAGAACACCAGUGGCGAAGGCGGCUCUCUGG
This 691-nucleotide ribosomal RNA is filed under the name uncultured Bacilli bacterium. RNAcentral's name for it is "bacterial SSU rRNA". It matches the Rfam family "Bacterial small subunit ribosomal RNA", at positions 65 to 732 of the family's 1533-position model. Lineage: Bacteria; Bacillati; Bacillota; Bacilli. The record is from RNAcentral.